RNAcentral lists this non-coding RNA (24 nucleotides) under Arabidopsis thaliana (thale cress). The record is from RNAcentral. Lineage: Eukaryota; Viridiplantae; Streptophyta; Magnoliopsida; Brassicales; Brassicaceae.
CUGAAGAUAGACCAGAUGUUGUGU